Molecule: transfer RNA, 39 nt
Filed under: Asperula tinctoria
Lineage: Eukaryota; Viridiplantae; Streptophyta; Magnoliopsida; Gentianales; Rubiaceae
Also listed under: 1 other name
Description: partial tRNA-Leu
Source: RNAcentral
AAAAUCCGUCGACUUUUAAAAUCGUGAGGGUUCAAGUCC